CUAAGCUACUAAGAGCAAACGGCGGAUGCCUUGGUGUCAAGUGAAGAAGAAAGACGUGGAAAGCUGCGAUAAGCCUCGGUUAGGAGCUAAACAUCCUUUGAUCCGGGGAUUUCUGAAUGGGGCAACCCGGCACGGUUAAUACCGUGUCAUGCCUUUCUGAAUAGAUAGGAAAGGCAAGGUAACGGGGAGAACUGAAACAUCUUAGUACCCCCAGGAAUAGAAAGUAAAAACGAUUCCCCAAGUAGCGGCGAGCGAACGGGGACCAGCCCAAACCGUUAACGUGUCAAGCCCGAAAGCGUUGCGUUAACGGGGUCGCGGGAUGCAAUUGGAUCCAGUUUCGGAUGGGUCAAUAAGUUACAAAAGAUAUCAUUAGCUGAACAAGCUGGAAAGCUUGACCAUAGCAGGUGACAGUCCUGUAAGUGAAAAUGAUCUCUCUUAUUUUUGCACUCCCAAGUACUGCGGAACACGAGGAACUCUGUGGGAAUUAGUGUGGACCAUCACAUAAGGCUAAAUACGACUUGACAACCGAUAGCGUACCAGUACCGUGAGGGAAAGGUGAAAAGUACCCCUGUUAGGGGAGUGAAAUAGUACCUGAAACCGUUUGCUUACAAGCUGUGGGAGCACUUUUGGUGUGACCGCGUGCCUUUUGCAUAAUGAGUCAGCGAGUUACUUAAUGCGGCAAGGUUAAGCCGAUAGGUGUAGCCGUAGCGAAAGCGAGUCUGAACAGGGCGCAAGUUGCAUUGAGUAGACCCGAAACCAGGUGAUCUAUCCAUGUCCAGGGUGAAGCGGGAGUAAAAUCUCGUGGAGGCCCGAACCGUCACAGGUUAAAAACUGUUCGGAUGAGGUGUGGAUAGGGGUGAAAGGCCAAACAAACCUGGAGAUAGCUGGUUCUCUCCGAAAUAUAUUUAGGUAUAGCCUCGUAUGUUUCUUUUUGGAGGUAGAGCACUGAAUGGGCUAGGGGUCUUACCAGAUUACCAAACCUAAUCAAACUUCGAAUACCAAAAAGUCAGAAUACGGGAGUCAGCCCGCGGGAGCUAAGUUCCGCGGACAAGAGGGAAACAACCCAGACCGCCAUCUAAGGUCCCCAAAUCUAUGCUAAGUGGAGAAGGAUGUGGGAAUGCCCAGACAACCAGGAGGUUGGCUUAGAAGCAGCCAUCCUUUAAAGAAAGCGUAAUAGCUCACUGGUCGAGUGGAUCUGCGCCGAAAAUGUAUCGGGGCUAAAGCAUAGUACCGAAGCUGCGGGCCAAGAAACAUUUAUGUUUCUUGACGGUAGGAGAGCGUUGUGUCGUCGCAGAAUCGCAACCGCGAGGUUGUGUGGAGAUGUCACAAGUGCCCAUGCUGACAUGAGUAGCGAUAAAGCGGGUGAGAGACCCGCUCGCCGAAAACCCAAGGUUUCCUGAGUAAAGCUAAUCUUCUCAGGGUUAGUCGAUCCCUAAGGCGAGGCCGAAAGGCGUAGUCGAUGGAAAACAGAUUAAUAUUUCUGUACCACCUUGUUAUCGUUUGAGAAACGGGGGGACGCAGGAGGGCAGGUCAUCCGUCUGUUGGAAUAGGCGGUUUAAGCUUGUAGGCUGAAGAUUCAGGCAAAUCCGGAUCUUUAAGGCCGAGAAGUGAUGACGAGGGAUUUAUCCCAUAAAGUGACUGUACCCAUGCUGCCAAGAAAAGCCUCUAUCGAGAUAACAGGUGAUCGUACCGUAAACCGACACAGGUAGGUGGGGAGAGUAUCCCAAGGCGCUUGAGAGAACCCUGGUUAAGGAACUCGGCAAAAUGAUACCGUAACUUCGGGAGAAGGUAUGCCCCUGACUGUUAGUAUUAUACUUUACAAAGCGGUUGGGGGCCGCAGAGAAUUGGUGGUAGCGACUGUUUACUAAAAACAUAGGACUCUGCAAAGUCGCAAGACGAGGUAUAGGGUCUGACGCCUGCCCGGUGCUGGAAGGUUAAGGGGAUUUGUUAGCUUUUAGCGAAGCAUUGAACUGAAGCCCCAGUAAACGGCGGCCGUAACUAUAACGGUCCUAAGGUAGCGAAAUUCCUUGUCGGGUAAGUUCCGACC
This 2047-nucleotide ribosomal RNA is filed under the name anaerobic digester metagenome. Its description in RNAcentral is "bacterial LSU rRNA". It matches the Rfam family "Bacterial large subunit ribosomal RNA", at positions 1 to 1988 of the family's 2925-position model. The record is from RNAcentral.